AGUGAACGCUGGCGGUAGGCCUAACACAUGCAAGUCGAACGGCAGCACAGUAAGAGCUUGCUCUUACGGGUGGCGAGUGGCGGACGGGUGAGGAAUACAUCGGAAUCUACUUUUUCGUGGGGGAUAACGUAGGGAAACUUACGCUAAUACCGCAUACGACCUACGGGUGAAAGCAGGGGAUCUUCGGACCUUGCGCGAUUGAAUGAGCCGAUGUCGGAUUAGCUAGUUGGCGGGGUAAAGGCCCACCAAGGCGACGAUCCGUAGCUGGUCUGAGAGGAUGAUCAGCCACACGGGAGCGUAGACACGGUCCAGACUCCUACGGGAGGCAGCAGUGGGGAAUAGGGGACAAUGGGCGCAAGCCUGAUCCAGCCAGACCGCGUGUGUGAAGAAGGCCUUCGGGUUGUAAAGCCCUUUUGUGGGGAAAGAAAAGCAGCAGGUUAAUACCCCGCUGUUCUGACGGUACCCAAAGAAUAAGCACCGGCUAACUUCGUG
RNAcentral lists this ribosomal RNA (492 nucleotides) under uncultured bacterium. RNAcentral's name for it is "partial 16S ribosomal RNA". It matches the Rfam family "Bacterial small subunit ribosomal RNA", at positions 29 to 507 of the family's 1533-position model. The record is from RNAcentral.